This 101-nucleotide Y RNA is filed under the name Microcebus murinus (gray mouse lemur). RNAcentral's name for it is "Y RNA (ENSMICG00000047532.1)". It matches the Rfam family "Y RNA". Rfam says of the family: Y RNAs are components of the Ro ribonucleoprotein particle (Ro RNP), in association with Ro60 and La proteins. The Y RNAs and Ro60 and La proteins are well conserved, but the function of the Ro RNP is not known. In humans the RNA component can be one of four small RNAs -- hY1, hY3, hY4 and hY5. Lineage: Eukaryota; Metazoa; Chordata; Mammalia; Primates; Cheirogaleidae. The record is from Rfam by way of RNAcentral.
GGCUGGCCAAGCGUGGUGGCGUUUGCAACUAACCGAUCACAGCCUGUUACAGAUUCCUUUGUUCCUUCUCCACUCCCACUGCUUCACCUGACCAGCCUUCA